This 253-nucleotide ribosomal RNA is filed under the name uncultured Eubacteriales bacterium. Its description in RNAcentral is "uncultured Clostridiales bacterium partial 16S ribosomal RNA". It matches the Rfam family "Bacterial small subunit ribosomal RNA", at positions 524 to 776 of the family's 1533-position model. Lineage: Bacteria; Bacillati; Bacillota; Clostridia; Eubacteriales. The record is from RNAcentral.
UACGUAGGGGGCAAGCGUUAUCCGGAAUUACUGGGUGUAAAGGGUGAGUAGGCGGCAUGGUAAGCCAGAUGUGAAAGCCUUGGGCUUAACCCAAGGAUUGCAUUUGGAACUAUCAAGCUAGAGUACAGGAGAGGAAAGCGGAAUUCCUAGUGUAGCGGUGAAAUGCGUAGAUAUUAGGAGGAACACCAGUGGCGAAGGCGACUUUCUGGACAGUAACUGACGUUGAGGCACGAAAGUGUGGGGAGCAAACAGG